UCUUUUCCUGCUUCUUUCUUCUUCUCCAGUUCGAUUUCAGAGUGAUGAAAUUGCGAGUUAAUUGGAGUGAAUCAACUAGUGAAUCUCGUAGAUGAAACUGGAGUUAUUCUCUAUCAAUUAAGAACGAGAUUUUUGCUGCUGCAAAUCAUGAUAAAAUUAAAAAUGGGAAGAAAUACUGAUACUGUGAAUUGAUCUGGGUUUGUUGCCGAAACUUAAAGAUGAAGAUAAUAAGUGCUCGUCUUUGAUUCGGGAGGGUUAGGAGGGACUGAGAAGAUGAAACAAGUGGUGCUGAGAGAUGGGUUUGAUGUUCUAAAACUAUGGGGUAACGAUCCUACAAAAGGGUUUAAUUCAGCAGGAUAAAAGGAAAGGUGGGUUGUAUUGGUGCUGGUAAAGAUGCAGAUGCAAUGGACGGCUGUGUCGAUGGAACUGUUGAAGGUAGUUGUGUUAUUGUCGUGGUGAAAUUGCAGCUAUAAUGAUGUCAAUGGAUAUGAGUUGCAGGACAGAGUUAGCAAGGAAAGUUGAGUUGGUUUUGCUGCCUUUAUGGUAGUGAUGAAUUAUAGUUGCUGGUGAUUCAGGGACCGAGUCCGAAGAACAAAGAAGAAAAAUGACCGAUAUUGGCAGGGAUGAUCAAUGUAGUUAAUAUCGGAUAUCGGUUCAUCUCGUCCGGGACCGAUACACUGGUACGAUUUUAUAUCGGGGAUAUUAUCGUUGAAAUAUCGGUAUAAUAUCGGUUCUAGAUUUAGAGACUAUAAUUUUAUAUUAAACAUUUUCUCCA
Molecule: long non-coding RNA, 775 nt
Organism: Papaver somniferum (opium poppy)
Lineage: Eukaryota; Viridiplantae; Streptophyta; Magnoliopsida; Ranunculales; Papaveraceae
Exons: 2
Source: RefSeq, a predicted model, not a curated record